AAAAAGAUAAACUGUGGGUUCCCGUGCCAACGUUUGACUGUCCGUCUUAUAUGAAAUUUUUUUAUAAUUAGUAUUUUCAUUGUUGUUCGAUGAUAAAACAUGAUUAAUAUUUUAUGUGUGACUUAUCUUUUUAAUUUUAUUUAUAAUUUUUUUAAAUAAGACGCACAAUCAAACGUUGAACACGGAAACUAGGGUUUGUCUUUUU
Oryza nivara is the source of this 205-nucleotide non-coding RNA. The record is from Rfam. Lineage: Eukaryota; Viridiplantae; Streptophyta; Magnoliopsida; Poales; Poaceae.